RNAcentral lists this ribosomal RNA (231 nucleotides) under uncultured bacterium. RNAcentral's name for it is "partial 16S ribosomal RNA". It matches the Rfam family "Bacterial small subunit ribosomal RNA", at positions 103 to 334 of the family's 1533-position model. The record is from RNAcentral.
CGGGUGGGUAACACGUGAGCAACCUGCCCCGAAGUUUGGGAUAACACCGGGAAACCGGUGCUAAUACCAGAUGCCCUCAUCGAGUCACCUGGCUUGAUGAGGAAAGAUUUAUCGCUUCGGGAGGGGCUCGCGGCCUAUCAGCUUGUUGGUGGGGUGACGGCCCACCAAGGCUUCGACGGGUAGCUGGUCUGAGAGGACGACCAGCCACACUGGGACUGAGACACGGCCCAG